CCUACGGGGGGCUGCAGUCGAGAAUCUUCGGCAAUGGGCGCAAGUCUGACCGAGCGACGCCGCGUGUGGGAUGAAGGCCCUUGGGUUGUAAACCACUGUCAGAGGGGAUGUAGCCUCAGAGGAAGCACGGGCUAAGUUCGUGCCAGCAGCCGCGGUAAUACGAGCUGUGCAAACGUUAUUCGGAAUCACUGGGCUUAAAGGGUGCGUAGGCGGCUUGUUAAGUAGGGUGUGAAAUCCCCCGGCUCAACCGGGGAAUUGCGCCCUAAACUGGCGAGCUGGAGUGAGAUAGGGGUGUGUGGAACUUCCAGUGGAGCGGUGAAAUGUGUUGAUAUUGGAAGGAACGCCAGUGGCGAAAGCGACACACUGGGUCUCACUGACGCUGAGGCACGAAAGCCAGGGGAGCAAACGGGAUUAGAUACCCCAGUAGUC
RNAcentral lists this ribosomal RNA (429 nucleotides) under uncultured bacterium. RNAcentral describes it as "partial 16S ribosomal RNA". It matches the Rfam family "Bacterial small subunit ribosomal RNA", at positions 338 to 795 of the family's 1533-position model. The record is from RNAcentral.